This 497-nucleotide ribosomal RNA is filed under the name uncultured bacterium. RNAcentral's name for it is "partial 16S ribosomal RNA". It matches the Rfam family "Bacterial small subunit ribosomal RNA", at positions 28 to 507 of the family's 1533-position model. The record is from RNAcentral.
GAUGAACGCUGGCGGCGUGCCUAAUACAUGCAAGUCGAGCGAACAGAUACGGAGCUUGCUCCUUUGACGUUAGCGGCGGACGGGUGAGUAACACGUGGGUAACCUACCUAUAAGACUGGGAUAACUUCGGGACACCGGCGCUAAUCCCGGAUAACAUUUGGAACCGCAUGGUUCUAAAGUGAAAGAUGGUUUUGCUAUCACUUAUAGAUGGACCCGCGCCGUAUUAGCUAGUUGGUAAGGUAACGGCUUACCAAGGCGACGAUACGUAGCCGACCUGAGAGGGUGAUCGGCCACACUGGAACUGAGACACGGUCCAGACUCCUACGGGAGGCAGCAGUAGGGAAUCUUCCGCAAUAGGCGAAAGCCUGACGGAGCAACGCCGCGUGAGUGAUGAAGGGUUUCGGCUCGUAAAACACUGUUAUUAGGGAAGAACAGAUGUGUAAGUAACUGUGCACGUCUUGACGGUACCUAAUCAGAAAGCCACGGCUAACUACGUG